This 408-nucleotide ribosomal RNA is filed under the name uncultured bacterium. RNAcentral describes it as "partial 16S ribosomal RNA". It matches the Rfam family "Bacterial small subunit ribosomal RNA", at positions 28 to 526 of the family's 1533-position model. The record is from RNAcentral.
GACGAACGCUGGCGGCGUGCUUAACACAUGCAAGUCGAACGAAGUGGCGAACGGGUGAGUAACGCGUAAUCAACCUGCCCUUCAGAGGGGGACAACAGUUGGAAACGACUGCUAAUACCGCAUACUGAAGGAGGGGAUUGCGUCUGAUUGGCUAGUUGGAGGGGUAACGGCCGACCAAGGCGAUGAUCAGUAGCCGGUCUGGGAGGAUGGACGGCCAAAUUGGGACUGGGGAACGGGCCAAACUCCUACGGGAGGACGCAGUUGGGAAUCUUCCGCAAAGGGCGAAAGUCUGACGGAGCAACGCCGCGUGAGUGAUGACGGCCUUCGGGUUGUAAAGCUCUGUUAAUCGGGACGCGGUACCGGAAUAGAAAGCCACGGCUAACUACGUGCCAGCAGCCGCGGUAAUUC